CAUACAGAGAGAUUCUUCAGCCACUCAGCCGUUGGUGGAAGGGAAACCCCAAACGGUCUUGAGAUGAAAAGGAUGGCUGGUCUUACUUACCUGGUGUGAUAUCGCCUGCCCACUUCUGUCAUCAUCUGUCCUGUGCUGUUGAACCUGGAGAGGAAAAUAUGCUUUUCUCCCUCACUGUCUUGACCGCGCAGGUUUCUCAGCCGCUCUGGUCUCUCGCUCUGCCGGCAGUGAACUUGUGGAAGUGUGAACAGGAGUCCCUCCCUCUUGGUCUCUGUCUCUCCUCCCCAAAGCCCAUGUCCUUCCUUCCUCCCUCCCUCCCUGGAAUGCAGAGCCAAGCAGAGGCCUGAGAACUGAGAGAAAUUCCUCUUCAUUAGCACACUUCUGGCAUCUGCUGCCUGCGUGGAGGCUUUUCCAUAACAUGAACCGCCUGAGAAAACAAACCUCAA
Molecule: long non-coding RNA, 446 nt
Organism: Podarcis raffonei (Aeolian wall lizard)
Lineage: Eukaryota; Metazoa; Chordata; Lepidosauria; Squamata; Lacertidae
Exons: 2
Source: RefSeq, a predicted model, not a curated record